RNAcentral lists this ribosomal RNA (492 nucleotides) under uncultured bacterium. RNAcentral describes it as "partial 16S ribosomal RNA". It matches the Rfam family "Bacterial small subunit ribosomal RNA", at positions 29 to 507 of the family's 1533-position model. The record is from RNAcentral.
AGUGAACGCUGGCGGUAGGCCUAACACAUGCAAGUCGAACGGCAGCACAGUAAGAGCUUGCUCUUACGGGUGGCGAGUGGCGGACGGGUGAGGAAUACAUCGGAAUCUACUUUUUCGUGGGGGCUAACGUAGGGAAACUUACGCUAAUACCGCAUACGACCUACGGGGGAAAGCAGGGGAUCUUAGGCCCUUGCGCGAUUGAAUGAGCCGAUGUCGGAUUAGCUAGUUGGCGGGGUAAAGGCCCACCAAGGCGACGAUCCGUAGCUGGUCUGAGAGGAUGAUCAGCCACACUGGAACUGAGACACGGUCCAGACUCCUACGGGAGGCAGCAGUGGGGAAUAUUGGACAAUGGGCGCAAGCCUGAUCCAGCCAUACCGCGUGGGUGAAGAAGGCCUUCGGGUUGUAAAGCCCUUUUGUUGGGAAAGAAAAGCAGCAAGUUAAUACCCCGCUGUUCUGACGGUACCCAAAGAAUAAGCACCGGCUAACUUCGUG